GACUUUACCAUCGGCUUUAACCCAAUUUAUACAUGCAAGUAUCCGCAUCCCUGUGAGAAUGCCCUCAAUCCCCCGCCCGGGGACGAGGAGCAGGCAUCAGGCACUUAAUUAUUGGCCCAAGACGCCUUGCUACGCCACACCCCCAAGGGAAUUCAGCAGUAAUAAACAUUAAGCAAUAAGUGAAAACUUGACUUAGUCAAGGCUAAGAGGGUCGGUAAAAUUCGUGCCAGCCACCGCGGUUAUACGAAAGACCCUAGUUGAUGGACACGGCGUAAAGGGUGGUUAAGGCAUAUAAUAAAUAAAGCUAAAUAGCCUCUAAGCCGUCGCACGCGCCCCGAGAGCUAGAAGCCCAUAAACGAAAGUAGCUUUAAAACUAGACACCUGACCCCACGAAAGCUAAGGAACAAACUGGGAUUAGAUACCCCACUAUGCUUAGCCAUAAACCAAGAUGUACACUUACACACGCAUCCGCCCGGGUACUACGAGCGCAGCUUAAAACCCAAAGGACUUGGCGGUGUCUCAGACCCACCUAGAGGAGCCUGUUCUAGAACCGAUAAACCCCGUUAAACCUCACCACUUCUUGUCUUUCCCGCCUAUAUACCGCCGUCGUCAGCUUACCCUGUGAAGGCCUAGCAGUAAGCAAAAUUGGCACACCCAAAAACGUCAGGUCGAGGUGUAGCGAAUGAAGUGGGAAGAAAUGGGCUACAUUUUCUAUAAACAGAAUACUACGGAUGGCACUAUGAAACAAGUGCCUGAAGGUGGAUUUAGUAGUAAAAAGUAAACAGUGCGUUCUUUUGAAUUAGGCUCUGAGACGCGCACACACCGCCCGUCACUCUCCCCCACAAUAUAAAUCUAAUUAAUCAAUAAUAAUAUAACCCUGAACCAAGGGGAGGCAAGUCGUAACAUGGUAAGUGUACCGGAAGGUGCACUUGGAAUAAU
Molecule: non-coding RNA, 939 nt
Filed under: Megalonema platanum
Lineage: Eukaryota; Metazoa; Chordata; Actinopteri; Siluriformes; Pimelodidae
Description: partial 12S ribosomal RNA
Rfam family: Bacterial small subunit ribosomal RNA
Source: RNAcentral